This is a long non-coding RNA of Branchiostoma belcheri (Belcher's lancelet), 360 nucleotides long. RefSeq lists it as uncharacterized. NCBI's taxonomy places the organism in Eukaryota, Metazoa, Chordata, Leptocardii, Amphioxiformes, Branchiostomatidae. The record is from RefSeq and is a predicted model, not a curated record. The transcript is spliced from 3 exons.
AUACGGCCCAUGGCUCGGCACCUACACCACCAUCACCCUCCUGGUCGCCGGCUUCCUGGCCGAUCAACUGUUGGACUCGGGAAGAGUUGACAUCACUGUGCUCAGAAAAGGCUUUCACAUCGUUGGACAAGUCUGUGGUGCCCUGCUGAUGCUCGUCAUCAUCCUCACCAAGGACGAGCUGGUGACGUACUACGGAACUGCCGCCUUCAUGGUCUUCAUGGGCAUCACCAUGGCAGCAGGUUUCACGGUGACUCCGCUGGACAUAGCUGACCGGUACGCGGGGAUUCUCGUGGGCGUGGCUAAAACCCUGGCCAGUCUGGUGCUGCUCGGCUGCCCGAUGCUCUUCAAAUUUAUGAACAA